Molecule: ribosomal RNA, 404 nt
Filed under: uncultured bacterium
Lineage: Bacteria
Description: partial 16S ribosomal RNA
Rfam family: Bacterial small subunit ribosomal RNA
Source: RNAcentral
AUUGAACGCUGGCGGCAGGCUUAACACAUGCAAGUCGAACGAGUGGCGGACGGGUGAGUAAUGCUUGGGAAUCUGGCUUAUGGAGGGGGAUAACUACGGGAAACUGUAGCUAAUACCGCGUACCAUAGGAUGAGCCCAAGUGGGAUUAGGUAGUUGGUGAGGUAAAGGCUCACCAAGCCGACGAUCUCUAGCUGGUCUGAGAGGAUGACCAGCAACACGUGGACUGGGACACGGCCCAGACGCCGAGUGGAGGCAGCAGGGGGGAAUAGUGCGUAAGGGGGGCAACCUGACGCAGCCAUGCCGCGUGAGUGAAGAAGGCCUUCGUGUUGUAAAGUUCUUUCGGUAGCGAGGCGUUAACUACAGAAGAAGCACCGGCUAACUCCGGGCCAGCCGCCGCGGAAUAC